RNAcentral lists this ribosomal RNA (465 nucleotides) under uncultured bacterium. RNAcentral describes it as "partial 16S ribosomal RNA". It matches the Rfam family "Bacterial small subunit ribosomal RNA", at positions 339 to 795 of the family's 1533-position model. The record is from RNAcentral.
CUACGGGUUGCAGCAGUGGGGAAUAUUGGACAAUGGGGGAAACCCUGAUCCAGCAAUGCCGCGUGUGUGAAGAAGGCCUGCGGGUUGUAAAGCACUUUCGGUUGGGAGGACUGCUUCUAGCACUAAUAUUGUUGGAAGUUGACGUUACCUUCAGAAGAAGCACCGGCUAACUCCGUGCCAGCAGCCGCGGUAAUACGGAAGGUGCAAGCGUUAAUCGGAAUUACUGGGCGUAAAGCGCGCGUAGGCGGCUAGAUCAGUCGGGUGUGAAAGCCCCGGGCUUAACCUGGGAACUGCAUCCGAUACUGUGUAGCUUGAGUACAGGAGAGGAGAGUGGAAUUCCACAUGUAGCGGUGAAAUGCGUAGAUAUGUGGAGGAACACCAAUGGCGAAGGCAGCUCUCUGGCCUGAUACUGACGCUGAGGUGCGAAAGCGUGGGGAGCAAACAGGAUUAGAUACCCGUGUAGUC